GAGAUUGAAGCUGCCAGCAUGAUCUGGUGUUGUCAAAAAGUCACCUCUGUGUGUGUGUGUUUGUGUUUGUGUGUGUAUAUAUUGGAAGGAUUAAGUGAGGUCAAUUAAUCUUUCUGCGUGUUUUUGAGGUGUUUAUUAGUGUGUGUGUGUGUGUGUGUGUGUUUUUAUGAGUAGGGUAAGAGAGCUUAACCAGGUCAUCUUGCAGCUUCAAUCACUCG
RNAcentral lists this microRNA precursor (218 nucleotides) under Cynara cardunculus (cardoon). RNAcentral's name for it is "miR167 stem-loop (cca-MIR167)". Its record names the gene cca-MIR167. The record is from miRBase by way of RNAcentral. Lineage: Eukaryota; Viridiplantae; Streptophyta; Magnoliopsida; Asterales; Asteraceae.